ACAAUGUAGUUAUGUUUGAACGAGGGCAUCCUGUGUAUCUUAAUUACCUUGCGUUUUUACAUUUGUAUUUAUGCUGCAGUGAUUCAAUUGACCCAAGGACCCUCAUCAUCUUUUUGAGCUUGAUGAUCUUCAUCGCAUUUGUCACCAUUAUCAUCUGGUUUAUGUUGAAAAAGCACAAACAGGCCAAAGCUGCAGCAUCAGCCACAACGAUAAGAUUUGGUUAUUUUUUCCCAAAACUUUUCUCAAAGAAAGCUGUAAGGAUGGACAGUACACAGGCCAUUUGUUUACAACUCAAAAUGAUCAAGAAACAUAUUCUGAUGUAGAAGAUAGAUGCUUCCCUUAGAGAGAGAUAUGUAUUUCUAUGUAUAAGACAUAAUAGAGAUUACAGUCAUCAGAUAGAACAUGUACAGCUUGGGUGUAGAAUUGCAAAGUGUUCCAAUUAUUGUGGCUAAGAAAGUGCUCACAAUCCUCGCACUUUCCAAGACUUUACCUCAGGGCUUGCUGGUUCUGCUCCAGAGCAGGGUUAGCCCUGAGCUUUGUGUGGUUAUAGCUUGAAAGCAGUGGGCUAAAAAUGGCUGGUGUGAAACAGGACUACAGUAAACAGAGAUGUCAUGAAGUAUUCAAGAAUGUCACAUUGGCUGCGUGUUCCAACGAACAUUUAAGCCACGGCUAGUAAAAUUGCAUUUUAAAUUUUUCAUCCCUGGCUCAGAUUAAACCCUUGAUGAACAAUUUGUGUGUGAUAACUAUUUGACUUGAUAAAACAUUUUAAGUCAAGUCAAUGUCUAUUGUCAGUAUAAAAUGAUAUUUAUGUCACCCAAAAUCUCAACCUCUAGCCCAGGGCUAUGUUGUGUUAAAACCCCUUUUGUUGUAAAAUUAUUUGAUAUUAAUCAAAAUCUGAAAGUGAUAAUGUCAUUCAUAACUGUCUCUCCUUCCACAUGCAGACUUCAUGCACGGAGAGCAAUGUGGAUGUGAUGUACAGCUCUGUGGUUUUCAAGAGGCCAAACGGUGUCCUAGAGGUAAAUGUAAAAAAAAAACUGAGUCUCUCACUGAUUGUCACGUUGUUCAGUGCUUAUUUGUUCUUGACUAUUUAGUUGUAGGUCAAAAAAAAGUUUAGAUGUUGCUUUUUAAUUUCAUUGCUUUUUUCACCAAAUCACAAAUCACAUUGCCUCAGGGGUUUUACAAUCCGUACAGGGUCAACUCUUAGCGCAGGCUAUGCAGCGUAAAAAGCCCUUUUUUUUAUCAAAAAUGACUUGAAGUUAAACAAAAACAGAGAGUGAUCAUCUCAUUCAUAACUGUCUCUCCUUCCUCGUGCAGACUUCAUAUACUCAGAGCGAUGUGGAUGUGAUGUACAGCUCUGUGGCUUUGAAGAAGCCAAAAUGUGUCCUCAAGGUAAAUAUCAACAAAACAGAAUCACACACUGAUUAUCACAUGUUGUUCAGUAAGUGUUUCUUUCUUCCCAAAACAUAACAUUAUAUUUUUGUUUAUCUUAUUACAUUUUUUUUACGUCUUUUUUCCCCGCAGGCUGAAGCAAAUGAUGACAGUGUUACAUACAGCACAUUGGCUUAGCACCAGCACAGCCUUCAGCCAUGUUUCCUCUUUUUUUCUGUCUAUGUUUUAGUCUAAUUAGAUGAGUUCUUUAAGUGAUAGUGUUGGAUUAUGUUAUCUGACGUAAUUAUUCGGUUGUGCAGUAACUUCUCUCUACUUCGGUUUUACACCUUCUCUCUACUGGUUCCUCUUAUGCAUUUAAAAGAAGCUUUGCCCUGUUUGCUUAUAUGGUGUUAAAGGUCACAUUAAGUUUGCAUGUGUUUGCAUUUAUAAGUGCAUGUGUCGGAGCACUGUUUAGCUCAGUUGAGCUAAACGGCGCUCAUCCUAUUUUCUGUAAUGUCUUCAAGUUGUUCUAUCAAUAAAGUCAUAAAGGCCAAAAAAAUAUUCUUUAAAAAAUAUGUGUGAGCUCUAAACUCAUAAAUCUUCAUCGGUCAGUCUUGUCCUCUCUUCAUGACAUGUUUAUCGUCAAACAAAGCUGCUACACAAAAUCGAUGAUUCUGUAGAGCCAGAUAGUGCAGAUAUCAGCUGCUUAGUGAAGACUCGUAGAGGUUUCUGGAUCUACAGUCAGCUAAAAUAGAAAUACUGUCAACAGAUGAAACAAACGGCACAAAGUGAUAGACGGCUGCUUUACAUUGCGCAUCUUUUAACUACUGUUGUAAAAUAGGGUAUAAAUAGACUUGCUGUGAAAACCAUCUGUGAACACCAACACCAAUGAGUCACGCUCGGGACUUUUGUUGAAUCUCCGCCUCGUUUUUUUCUGUUCACUCUCUUCUGCCUGUGAUAAAGACGUUAAAAGCCUCUCAAAAUACUUCUCCUUGAGCGAGACUUGUGUUUCUGUUUACAAAGGCAUCUUAUGAACAAAACGGUCCAUCUCCUUAGGAAUUGUCUCUGUAAUGUUGUCAGACACUUGGAUAAACAACCUCAGCCUGUCAGUAGCAAAACAAACAGUUUGAGAGAUGGCAGUGACAUUCAAAUAUAAAUAUUUUAAGGGGCUUUUUAUGACUUUAUCACAGGUAAUAGAGAGUGAACAGAAAAUGGGCAAGAGAUGCAAAAAAAGGUCAAAGUUAUGUCCACUAAAAUUAAGCGUUAAUACGGAGAAAUGCACAAAUGGGAGCGAAGAGAUUGAUUCCCUAACCCUGCCUGGUUUGUUUAUGACACGGCAACAGCAAUGCUCAUUACAUCAUGUCUUUAAACCACCUUAAAGUGCCCUCUCAUACAGUAUGUAUAUACCAAUCAGCUCACAGACUUACAGCCAUGGCCAUUUCUUUUCGCUCAGAAGAGUUCACCAGAGGGCCUGGAGCUCCACCUGCUUGUCGGUCAGGGGGAGCUGCGACCAAGAUUUUCUCUUGUGAUAUUUCAGAGCAAGACUUCUCCUG
Long non-coding RNA from Sparus aurata (gilthead seabream), 2921 nucleotides. NCBI's taxonomy places the organism in Eukaryota, Metazoa, Chordata, Actinopteri, Spariformes, Sparidae. The record is from Ensembl.